GGGUCCCAGUUCCGAACCCGUCG
RNAcentral lists this small nuclear RNA (23 nucleotides) under Arabidopsis thaliana (thale cress). RNAcentral's name for it is "snRNA_11260". Lineage: Eukaryota; Viridiplantae; Streptophyta; Magnoliopsida; Brassicales; Brassicaceae. The record is from RNAcentral.